Molecule: ribosomal RNA, 908 nt
Filed under: uncultured organism
Description: bacterial SSU rRNA
Rfam family: Bacterial small subunit ribosomal RNA
Source: RNAcentral
CNUGCAGUCGAGGGGCAGCAGGGUAGCAAUAUCGCUGGCGACCGGCGCACGGGUGCGUAACACGUAUAUAAUCUGCCUUUUACAGGGGGAUAGCCUUUCGAAAGAGAGAUUAAUACCCCAUAAUAGUUGACUGGGCAUCCAGUUGAUUUGAAAGUUCCGACGGUAAAAGAUGAGUAUGCGUCUGAUUAGCUAGUAGGUGAGGUAACGGCUCACCUAGGCAACGAUCAGUAGGGGAUCUGAGAGGAUUAACCCCCACACGGAUACUGAGACACGGAUCCGACUCCUACGGGAGGCAGCAGUAAGGAAUAUUGGACAAUGCCCGCAAGGGUGAUCCAGCCAUGCCGCGUGCAGGAAGAAGGCCCUAUGGGUCGUAAACUGCUUUUACACCGGAGAAAACCCCCCUACGUGUAGGGGGCUGAUAGUAUGGUGAGAAUAAGCAUCGGCUAACUUCGUGCCAGCAGCCGCGGUAAGACGAAGGAUGCAAGCGUUAUCCGGAUUCAUUGGGUUUAAAGGGAGCGUAGGUGGACUGAUAAGUCAGUGGUGAAAUCUCUUCGCUUAACGAAGAAAUUGCCAUUGAUACUGUUGGUCUUGAGUACAGUUGCUGUGGGCGGAAUAUGACAUGUAGUGGUGAAAUACAUAGAGAUGUCAUAGAACACCGAUUGCGAAGGCAGCUCACAAAGCUGUAACUGACACUGAGGCUCGAAAGUGCGGGGAUCAAACAGGAUUAGAUACCCUGGUAGUCCGCACCGUAAACGAUGAUUACUCGCUGCUAGAGGGCAACUUUUAGUGGCUUAGCGAAAGCGAUAAGUAAUCCACCUGGGGAGUACGCCGGCAACGGUGAAACUCAAAGGAAUUGACGGGGGCCCGCACAAGCGGAGGAGCAUGUGGUUUAAUUCGAUGAUACGCGA